This 502-nucleotide ribosomal RNA is filed under the name uncultured bacterium. Its description in RNAcentral is "partial 16S ribosomal RNA". It matches the Rfam family "Bacterial small subunit ribosomal RNA", at positions 30 to 523 of the family's 1533-position model. The record is from RNAcentral.
AUUGAACGCUGGCGGCAUGCCUUACACAUGCAAGUCGAACGGCAGCACGGGUGCUUGCACCUGGUGGCGAGUGGCGAACGGGUGAGUAAUACAUCGGAACGUGCCCAGUAGUGUGGGAUAGCCCGGCGAAAGCCGGAUUAAUACCGCAUACGACCUAAGGGUGAAAGGGGGGGAUCGCAAGACCUCUCGCUAUUGGAGCGGCCGAUGUCAGAUUAGGUAGUUGGUGGGGUAAAGGCCCACCAAGCCAACGAUCUGUAGCUGGUCUGAGAGGACGAUCAGCCACACUGGGACUGAGACACGGCCCAGACUCCUACGGGAGGCAGCAGUGGGGAAUUUUGGACAAUGGGGGAAACCCUGAUCCAGCCAUGCCGCGUGCGGGAAGAAGGCCUUCGGGUUGUAAACCGCUUUUGUCAGGGAAGAAAAGCUCUAGGAUAAUACCUUGGAGUAAUGACGGUACCUGAAGAAUAAGCACCGGCUAACUACGUGCCAGCAGCCGCCGUAA